UAGUCCACGCCCUAAACGAUGCUAACUCGAUAUUUGGAUCUUGAAUCUGAGUGUCUAAGCGAAAGCGAUAAGUUAGCCACCUGGGGAGUACGUUCGCAAGAAUGAAACUCAAAGGAAUUGACAGGGGCCCGCACAAGCGGCGGAGCAUGUGGUUUAAUUCGAUGCAACGCGAAGAACCUUACCAGCCCUUAACAUCCUGGGAAUCUCUAAGAGAUUAGAGAGUGCCUUCGGGAAUCCAGAGACAGGUGCUGCAUGGCUGUCGUCAGCUCGUGUCGUGAGAUGUUGGGUUAAGUCCCGCAACGAGCGCAACCCUUGUCCUUAGUUGCCAACACGUAAUGGUGGGAACUCUAAGGAGACUGCCGGUGAUAAACCGGAGGAAGGUGGGGAUGACGUCAAGUCAUCAUGGCCCUUAUGGGCUGGGCUACGACACGUGCUACAAUGGUCGGUACAGAGGGCCGCAAACCCGCGAGGGGGAGCCGAAUCCCAGAAAGCCGAUCUUAGUCCGGAUCG
RNAcentral lists this ribosomal RNA (510 nucleotides) under uncultured bacterium. RNAcentral describes it as "bacterial SSU rRNA". It matches the Rfam family "Bacterial small subunit ribosomal RNA", at positions 791 to 1300 of the family's 1533-position model. The record is from RNAcentral.